RNAcentral lists this ribosomal RNA (264 nucleotides) under Duganella vulcania. Its description in RNAcentral is "partial 23S ribosomal RNA". It matches the Rfam family "Bacterial large subunit ribosomal RNA", at positions 1442 to 1713 of the family's 2925-position model. The record is from RNAcentral. Lineage: Bacteria; Pseudomonadati; Pseudomonadota; Betaproteobacteria; Burkholderiales; Oxalobacteraceae.
CACCGUCGUAUGAUGCGAUGGGGGGACGGAUCGCGGAAGGUUGUCUGACUGUUGGAAUAGUCAGUUUCUGCUUCAUAGAAGGCGCUUAGGCAAAUCCGGGCGCGUAAUUCAAGGGAGUGGGACGAGGAACUUAGGUUCUGAAGCAAUCGGAAGUGGUUCCAAGAAAAGCCUCUAAGCUUCAGUCAUACGAGACCGUACCGCAAACCGACACAGGUGGGCGAGAUGAGUAUUCUAAGGCGCUUGAGAGAACUCGGGAGAAGGAAC